GCUCGCCUGUCUCUCCGCUGCAGCCUACCGGUGAGGUACUGAACAAGAACGACUCUCUCCCCUUCUCCUGCUCUGUACCGGGAUCCGUUAUAAUCAUGUCUAUAUUCGCUGAAGUACCUCAAGCCCCUCCAGUGGCCGUUUUUAAACUGACUGCCGAUUUCAGAGAGGACACUCACGCGCAGAAGGUGAAUUUGGGAGUCGGAGCCUACCGUACAGAUGACUGUCUACCAUGGGUCCUGCCCGUAGUGAAGAAGGUAGAGAAGAUGAUAGUGGAGGACAGCAGUCUGAACCACGAGUAUCUUCCCAUCCUGGGUCUCCCUGAGCUCCGCUCUGCUGCCUCCAAGGUGGCCUGGGCGAUACAGCCCCGCCAUCAAGGACGGAGGGUGGGAGCGGUCCAGGCAUUGGGAGGUACUGGUGCGUUGAGGAUCGGGGCGGAGUUUCUGAGGCGCUGGUACAACGGCACCAACAACACGGCCACGCCCGUCUACGUCUCCGCGCCAACCUGGGAGAACCACAAUGCAGUGUUUUCUGAUGCUGGGUUUAAAGAUAUCCGCCCCUACCACUACUGGGAUGGAGCAAAGAAAGGCCUGGACGUGACUGGUAUAAUGGAUGACCUGGAGAACGCUCCAGAACACUCUAUCUUUGUGCUUCAUGCCUGUGCCCACAACCCCAGGGACAGACCCCAGCCACGAAUGGAAGACGAUCGCUGAGGUCAUGAAGAGGAGAAAGCUGUUUGUGUUCUUUGACUCAGCCUACCAGGGUUUUGCAUCAGGCAGUCUGGAUAAAGAUGCCUGGGCCAUCCGCUACUUUGUCUCUGAAGGAUUUGAGCUGCUCUGUGCCCAGUCCUUCUCCAAGAACUGGCCUCUACAAUGAGCGUGUUGGUAACCUGACGGUAGUGGCCCAGGAUAAAGACAACCUGACCCGUGUUCUGUCCCAGAUGGAGAAGAUCGUCAGGACCACCUGGUCCAACCCUCCCUCCCAGGGGGCGCGCAUCGUAGCCAUCACACUCAACAACCCCGAUCUGUUCAUAGAAUGGAAGGGUAAUGUAAAGACCAUGGCUGAUCGUGUAUUGUUGAUGAGAGACCAGCUGAAGGCUAAGCUCAUUGCUCUGGGGACGCCUGGCACCUGGGACCACAUCACCCAGCAGAUCGGCAUGUUCAGCUUCACCGGACUCAACCCUAAGCAGGUGCAGUACAUGAUUAAGGAGAAGCAUGUCUACCUGAUGGCCAGCGGUCGUAUCAACAUGUGUGGUCUCACCUCCAAGAACAUCGACUAUGUCGCAGAGUCCAUCCAUGAGACAGUGUCCAAGAUUACUGAGCCAUCUUUAAACAAUCUGAACGCAGACCUCUAGUCGAAGUAUAUCACUCUCCUGGCCAUCGUUAUGUUGCCUUUUUAUUUAUUUUAUUGUGCCAUUUCUGGUUUUGAAAAUGUAUAAAAGAUGACUGUGUGCACUUUGGUUUUAAAAAUAAAUAAAUGUUUCAGAGCACUUGAAAGUGAAGCAAUGCCAGAAGUUGA
This is a non-coding RNA of Salmo salar (Atlantic salmon), 1515 nucleotides long. The record is from RefSeq and is a predicted model, not a curated record. Lineage: Eukaryota; Metazoa; Chordata; Actinopteri; Salmoniformes; Salmonidae.